Molecule: transfer RNA, 71 nt
Filed under: Marmota monax (woodchuck)
Lineage: Eukaryota; Metazoa; Chordata; Mammalia; Rodentia; Sciuridae
Description: tRNA.Ala
Source: RNAcentral
GGGGUUGUGGCUCAGUGAUAGAGCGCUCACCUCGCACGUGCGGGGUUCUGGGUUCAAUCCUUAGCACCACA